This is a long non-coding RNA of Daphnia magna, 485 nucleotides long. RefSeq lists it as uncharacterized. The record is from RefSeq and is a predicted model, not a curated record. NCBI's taxonomy places the organism in Eukaryota, Metazoa, Arthropoda, Branchiopoda, Diplostraca, Daphniidae. The transcript has 2 exons.
GGCCAGCCCGACUUGCGGUUGGGUAUAGAGAUUCCAUGCUGUGCUGCUCUCUCUGUCUCUUUCUCUGCGAUACAGCGAGGCGCAGUGUGUCCGUGUUUUGUUUUUUUCCAAACUUUGUGUCGAGUCACGAAAGACCAAUUUACUAAAAGUUUUUGGCAUCUCAUUUCGAUCGUGUGUACAGCGCCAUUGUCGCCGUCUUCUCUUCGCUUAAUGAUGAGGAGAAAAUACCGCGGAUUCAGUCCAACAGGUUCUUGGUUGUUGCGAUGCUCUACAAGUUGCCGAUAGGUCCGAUCAAAGAGACACACGCAAAUGGGAAAAGAACAACAGACAAUGGGAACGGCUCUUUUAUGUUCUUCACAAGCGGCUGCUCUUGUGCUACCAUGUCCCACUUGACUGUUUAGUCUAUACACAAUCGUUAUAUUCAAGUCUUUCAUACAUAUACUACAUUCAUCAAUGAUUUAAAAAUAAAAGGCUGUUCAAUGCUA